RNAcentral lists this ribosomal RNA (383 nucleotides) under uncultured eukaryote. Its description in RNAcentral is "partial 18S ribosomal RNA". It matches the Rfam family "Eukaryotic small subunit ribosomal RNA", at positions 592 to 976 of the family's 1831-position model. The record is from RNAcentral.
CAAUGGCGUAUAUUAAAGUUGUUGCAGUUAAAAAGCUCGUAGUUGGAUUUCUGGCGGGAGCGACCGGUCGGCCCAAGUGGUGUGUACUAGCGUUGCGUCCGGCCAUAUUUGCGGAGAGCGCGUGUGGCAUUAAUUUGUCGUGCGCGGGACCCGCAUCGUUUACUGUGAGAAAAUUAGAGUGUUCAAAGCAGGCUUAUGCCUUGGAUAUGUUAGCAUGGAAUAAUAAGAUAAGACUUUGGCGGUCUAUUUUGUUGGUUUGCACGCCAUUGUAAUGAUUGAUAGGGACAGUUGGGGGUAUUCAUAUUUAAUUGUCAGAGGUGAAAUUCUUGGAUUUAUGAAAGAUGAACUACUGCGAAAGCAUUUACCAAGGAUGUUUUCAUUAA